UGCAGUCGAACGAACCUUCGGGUUAGUGGCGGACGGGUGAGUAACGCGUGGGAAUCUGCCCUCAGGAGGGGGAUAACGGCUGGAAACGGCCGCUAAUACCCCAUAUGCCGAGAGGUGAAAUGAAUUUCGCCUGAGGAUGAGCCCGCGUCUGAUUAGCUAGUUGGUGAGGUAAGAGCUCACCAAGGCAUCGGUCAGUAGCUGGUCUGAGAGGAUGAUCAGCCACACUGGGACUGAGACACGGCCCAGACUCCUACGGGAGGCAGCAGUGGGGAAUUUUCCGCAAUGGGCGAAAGCCUGACGGAGCAACGCCGCGUGAGGGAUGAAGGCCUCUGGGCUGUAAACCUCUUUUCUCAAGGAAGAAGAUCUGACGGUACUUGAGGAAUAAGCCACGGCUAAUUCCGUGCCAGCAGCCGCGGUAAUACGGGAGUGGCAAGCGUUAUCCGGAAUUAUUGGGCGUAAAGCGUCCGCAGGCGGCCCUUCAAGUCUGCUGUUAUAACGUGGAGCUUAACUCCAUCAUGGCAGUGGAAACUGUUGGGCUUGAGUGUGGUAGGGGCAGAGGGAAUUCCCGGUGUAGCGGUGAAAUGCGUAGAUAUCGGGAAGAACACCAGUGGCGAAGGCGCUCUGCUGGGCCAUAACUGACGCUCAUGGACGAAAGCCAGGGGAGCGAAAGGGAUUAGAUACCCCUGUAGUCCUGGCCGUAAACGAUGAACACUAGGUGUCGGGGGAAUCGACCCCCUCGGUGUCGUAGCCAACGCGUUAAGUGUUCCGCCUGGGGAGUACGCACGCAAGUGUGAAACUCAAAGGAAUUGACGGGGGCCCGCACAAGCGGUGGAGUAUGUGGGUUUAAUUCGAUGCAACGCGAAGAACCUUACCAGGGUUUGACAUCCUGCGAACCUCUUGGAAACGAGAGGGUGCCUUCGGGAACGCAGUGACAGGUGGUGCAUGGCUGUCGUCAGCUC
RNAcentral lists this ribosomal RNA (959 nucleotides) under uncultured marine bacterium. RNAcentral's name for it is "bacterial SSU rRNA". It matches the Rfam family "Bacterial small subunit ribosomal RNA", at positions 56 to 1061 of the family's 1533-position model. The record is from RNAcentral.